Molecule: long non-coding RNA, 4612 nt
Organism: Malaclemys terrapin pileata
Lineage: Eukaryota; Metazoa; Chordata; Testudines; Emydidae
Exons: 5
Source: RefSeq, a predicted model, not a curated record
ACCCCGCGGGCCGGGCCGAGCCGAGCCGGGCCGGGGGCUCCGCUCCGCUCCCGGACUCUGCCCGGCGCCCGGGGCAGCAGCUCCGCUGCGGGGCUCUCGCAGCUAACGCCCCCGGGGGAGCGUCUCCGACCCCUUGGCUCAAAGCCGUUGCUGGGCCCGUCCGCCAAGAACUGCCCUAGUUCUUGUUUGAACCCAGUUAUACUAGAUCCCAACAUCCCCUGGCAGUGAGUUCCGCAGGUAGUCUGUGUGCUGUGUGAAGAGAUGCUUCCUUUUGUUUGUUUUAAACCUGCUGCCCGUUCAUUUCAUUGGGUGAGCCCUGGUUCUUGUGCCCUAAGAAGGGGGGUGGAUGGUGCUUAUUGAGAGAGAUUUCUUCAGGUGAAGGAGAUGGGCUUCUACAUCAGCUCCUUGUCUAGAGCCGCCUGCAGCAAAGCACACCUGGACUCCCAGUCAUCCCCAAGACAUUAUCAGGUGGCUCCAAGCUACAAUUACAGAUGGACAGAUCUUCACUACGAAGCUAGCAGGGGCAACAUGGAGAAACUGCAACAACUCCUAGUGACCUCAGACAGGGAGCUGGUUGACAGGAAGGAUUACUAUGGCAAGACUCCGCUCUACUGGGCUGCGUAUAAAGGGCAGAAGCUUUCCAUGGAGUUACUCCUGCAACAUGGAGCCAGUGUGAACACGUGCUGUAAACAUGGAGGAACGCCCCUUCAUGCAGCCAUUGGCCUCUUCCCAGACUGCACUCUGCUGCUGAUACAGCAUGGUGCUGAUGUGAACCUUCAGGAUAACUGGGGAGUGACUCCCAUGUACCUGGCAGCUUGCAGUGGGCAGAUAAGAGUGUAUCCGGCUUCUGGUGCAGGCUGGCGCUGACAUCACUUACAAGAACAAGAAGACAGGAGCCACCCCUAAGCGUCUGGUCUCACAAACUGCACUGAUAUCCUGGAUUGAAUCCUGCUGCCGACAGCCGCGCUCCCUGAAACACCUCAGCCACCUGCGUAUCCGAACCACCCUUGGGCAUCAGAGGCUUGAAGCCAUUAGGGGAUUUGACCUCCCAACCCCACUGAAGCGCUACCUUAUGUAUGAGGAUCUUGUUCUGCAGGAUGGCCUGUAGCCGCGGGAAGUCUGGCCAGUCUACACCUGUACCCACAAGGACAAAGUGACAAUGGGGAGAGGAGCCAACGCUGUUUCAUCUUUUCAGUCAUCAGCUCCUCAAAGCCACAAGAGAGAUGGAUUUUGUGUUGUCAUCUUACCUUUCUGUGGCCUAAUCUGAGCCCCAUCCGGGAACGGAUCAGAGGCUGCUGUCUGUGGAGACUGCUGGUGAUUCUUACUCUGGAACAUGCCUGUAGCUCCAGCGUGCAUUGAGGAGAGCAGAGCUCUGUCUCCUGCCCUGAAGAGCUUGCUAGGUAACAUGCUACAGCAGGUCUCAGAGAGCUGGUCUCGGCCAGGAGGAGAGAAGGGGAGAAGCGACUCCUCUCCCUCCGUUUCUCGUUCAGGUAUGAGUUUGACAAGUGUUAUAGGAACAAAAAUGUGCAUACAGGCUCCUACCUGCAGGCAGACCUUUUACUGUCAAAAUACUGUCUGGCCCAAAGGAAGGCACUGGGGAGUUGCUGUGAUUCUCCAUUCCAUCUACCUGCCCAGGUACUAUAGUAUUGGAGCACCGGUGAUUCAAGGCAGGGAGGAAGGUGGUCACUGACCCAUUGCCAUCCCCUACUGAUCUGCAGCAGCUGGAUCUGUUUUUACAUGCCCCUUUGACUCAUGUCCCUCACUUCACUGCCACCACAUUCUCACCUCCUGUCACUUGCUGCACUUCCAUCAGUUUCUACCUCCUGUCCUCACUCCCAUCCCACGUUACUUGCGUCAGGCAGCUUGUUUUCCAUGAAGUGUGCGUAGAGGACAGAAGAAUCAGUUCCAGCCCACUCUCCAAAAGGCCAGAUUUUCAGCUCCCCUGGAAAACAAUGGUGACCCUCUGUCCUUGCUCCAUGGAGGAGAAUCAGAGCUGCUGGGUGGGGAGCCCUUUUGGAAGUGUAGCCCAGAGUGUGCCAGUACCUGUUGGAUUCACUGGAUCUGAUUUCCCUGUAUUAAGGCUGCCUCAGAUCCCUGGGCAGAGCCUGGACCAAGUGUCAGUACAACCAGGACAUGUGAUCUGAGUCUUCAUAGCCUGUCUUGGCCACAGAGCUGGGUCGGGGGCAGAGCCUGACUUUUAUGUAAAUACUGUAAAAUUAUUGCAACUAAUUGAUAACAGUGCCCUGGAGCCAAGCUGACAGGAGGUGGGGGCUGUUAGGGGUGUGGCUGGCUGGUGCAGAGAGCCAUGGGGUGUGACUGUGUCCUCAUUCAAACUAAAAUACAGGCAAAGGCUGCCUGAGUGUUUAAGAAAACACAAGCCACAAGGUGGGGGAGCUCUGCCCCCUGCCUCAGUGACCUUCCUCAUCUGAGUCACAUGGUGGGGGGCUCUCUAUCACAACUGCAGGCCUGUCUGUGUGCCCCUUGUGGGUAUAGCCAGUCCAGGAUGUUUGGCUCUUUGGCAAGGCCCAGCUCCAAAUUAGGAGUGAGGAUUUCUCUAGUGGGGUUGGAGUGAGCCAGUCCCCAUAGGGAUUUUCCUCACUGUACUCUCUAUCUUCAUUGGCAGUUAUUCUUAAUGCUGGAGGAAGAAGGGUUAGAGGUCACAGAACAACAGCGGGGCUGGGGGGGGAGGAGAGAGAAGACCUACUCUCUAACUCACAGCCUGACCUCCCUGUGCAAUGUUGUGGCUUAGCUGGAAGAUCUAAUUUUAGGAGGUGAUAACCCCUCCCCCGUGACUUCCCCAACAGAUAGCAAGUCAGCUUGUGCAGCAUUAGCAAGAUAGAUUUAGGAAUAAGAUCCAGGUGUGGGUCCCUGGAAGAGAGAAGGACCCAAAGAAUGUCCAGCUUUACUGAAAAGCGGCAGUGCACAAUGGGGGAGGAAGAUGUAUGAUGUCAUUUUAAUACCCUUGUUUGCAGUUAUUCCUGUUGCAAAUACUAGCUGCUAUAGGACCUGGGGGAAUAGGUAGGGCGACAAGGGAUGUGGGUCUCCCAGAGCAGGGCCCUCUAGAAUGUGAUUAUGCAACUGUAUAAAGGGCCCCACAAUUUCUUUCUGCCAGGAUGGUGUAUAAAACCAAAUCCAUUUUCCAGCCCUCAGCUUGUCGGCUGCUGUAUAGGAGCUUGCAGGAGGGGAAAACUGUAGCUGGCUGAAGAGCAGGGGGACCUGCAACAGCAUGGGGUAGAGGGGCUGAUACUCUUUCUGGGAGGUGGCUGACACUUGAAACUCUUUAGGCCUGAACUCUGGCCAGCUAAGGGCCAUGUCAGAUACCAUCCCCAGCUGUACAUCUCUUAAUGCACUGCUAUCCCUGCCAGCCUCUUAAGAUGCCCCCACUGCCUCUCAUGACAGCCUGCCCCCUACUUCUCCCUUUUAGGAACAGCACAGCUUAUUGAAUGAUUUUGCAGUUAAUAUUGCAGCCUAGUACUGCAGAGCUCAUUGUAGCCCACUCACUGAAAUAAGGAGUUUUGCUGCAUAAUCUAAGAUUUACCUGUUGAAUAAUACAGAGACUGAGGGUCUAGGAGGAGUGGAGAGCUCUUAGUGUUACCCUAAGAUUUCAAAAGCCAAUUACGUUACCUACAAUAGCGCUUUUAAUUUCCAAAAAAGGGUAACCACGGUUGUGUUCUGCCCUAAAGGAAUUGCCAGAGUAUUACCAGGGAGCUUGUCUCUGACCGGCAGAGGGCUCCCCAGAGCAAGCUAGUUUUGCUGACCCCUGACAGGACGUGGGUACAGCCCUCUGCUCAAGGAUAGGCCCACAAAUAGUAGUUCUUUGAAAACAGAAAUAAUCUUUAUUAAAAAAGGAGAUAAGUUACAGGAAAUUUAAUAAAGGAAGAAAGAAGGCAUAGAACAUAAGGAAACAAUAGGAUUACAUGUAAUAUAAUGGCGCAGCAAAAUAAAAGAAACUAUGUAAGAAAACACACAUCUAAAAUAAAUAUAGCAGUUUCAACGUAGCAUAUAUAUGAAUGAAUAAAUAAAAAAAUAAAAUUAAAUAAAAGAGAGCGCGAGAGAGCGAGAUUCCUCAUACACAAGAGUUUUUCAUUCUAGUAAUACAAUACUUAAUACAAUGAAAUAUGCGUGGCCUCUCUACACCUAUGAGUACAGUCACAGUUAAAAGCAAUUACUUGACAUCCACAUUAAUACCCAUCAUUAGACAUUUAACAUUUGAUUAACAUUUAACUAUUCACACUUAACAUCCUAACAUUUAACAUCCAGUAAGCGCUGGCCAGGCGGUUAUCAGAUGGGUAAUAGGGGAAGAUCUCACUCAAACCACAGGCAGUCAUCUUUAUUUACAGGUGAAACCCAUACACUCUUGGAUAGUAAAUAGAAAGAUUAGGCUUACACAGACACCACAAUUCCCUCUGAUCGUCUAAGAUAGUAGUUCUCAAACUUUUUUUCCCCCCCACACAGACCACUUGAAAAUUGCUGAGGGUCUCGGCGGACCACUUAAUGAUCUUUCCAAGUGUUGUUUGUACCGUUCGUUAACUAUUGUAAAGCUCUUUGGAUAAAAGCGCUAUUAAAAAAAAACUUUUGUUCUACAAAUAAAAGCACAAAACUCAUAUUUUAA